AACGUAGGAGACAAACGUUAUCCGGAGUUACGGGGCGUAAAGGGCGUGUAGGUGGUUUCGUAAGUCUGGCGUGAAAUUUUUCGGCUUAACCGGGAAAGGUCGUCGGAUACUGCAGAACUAGAGGACGGUAGAGGCGUGUGGAAUUCCGGGUGUAGUGGUGAAAUGCGUAGAGAUCCGGAGGAACACCAGUGGCGAAGGCGACACGCUGGGCCGUACCUGACACUGAUGCGCGACAGCAUGGGGAGCAAACAGG
Molecule: ribosomal RNA, 253 nt
Filed under: uncultured bacterium
Lineage: Bacteria
Description: partial 16S ribosomal RNA
Rfam family: Bacterial small subunit ribosomal RNA
Source: RNAcentral